GAUGAAGAACGUAGCGAAAUGCGAUACGUAAUGUGAAUUGCAGAAUUCAGUGAAUUAUCGAAUCUUUGAACGCAUAUUGCGCUCUUUGGUAUUCCGAAGAGCAUGCUUGUUUGAGUAUCAGUAAACACCUCAACCUCUUCUUGAUUUUUCAAAAGGAGGGUGGACUUGAGCUAUCCCAACAACCUUUACCGGUCGGCGGGCGGCUUGAAAUGCAGGUGCAGCUGGACUUUUAUCUGAGCUAAAAGCAUAUCUAUUUAGUCCUCGUCAAACAGGAUUAUUACUUUUGCUGCAGCUAACAUAAAGGAUAAUUGUCCUCUUUGCUGACUGAUGCAGGAUUUUACGACACUUUAUGUGUUGUUCAACUCGAUCUCAAAUCAAGUAAGACUACCCGCUGAACUUAAGCAUAUCAAUAAGCGGAGGA
Molecule: unclassified non-coding RNA, 421 nt
Filed under: soil metagenome
Description: partial contains 5.8S ribosomal RNA, internal transcribed spacer 2, and large subunit ribosomal RNA
Rfam family: 5.8S ribosomal RNA (bases 1-120)
Source: RNAcentral